RNAcentral lists this ribosomal RNA (512 nucleotides) under uncultured bacterium. Its description in RNAcentral is "partial 16S ribosomal RNA". It matches the Rfam family "Bacterial small subunit ribosomal RNA", at positions 28 to 507 of the family's 1533-position model. The record is from RNAcentral.
GAUGAACGCUGGCGGCGUGCCUAAUACAUGCAAGUCGAACGAAACUUCUUUAUCACCGAGUGCUUGCACUCACCGAUAAAGAGUUGAGUGGCGAACGGGUGAGUAACACGUGGGCAACCUGCCCAAAAGAGGGGGCUAACACUUGGAAACAGGUGCUAAUACCGCAUAACCAUAGUUACCGCAUGGUAACUAUGUAAAAGGUGGCUAUACUACCGCUUUUGGAUGGGCCCGCGGCGCAUUAGCUAGUUGGUAGGGUAAAGGCUUACCAAGGCAAUGAUGCGUAGCCGAAUUGAGAGGUUGAUCGGCCACAUUGGGACUGAGACACGGCCCAAACUCCUACGGGAGGCAGCAGUAGGGAAUCUUCCACAAUGGGCGAAAGCCUGAUGGAGCAACGCCGCGUGGGUGAAGAAGGUCUUCGGAUCGUAAAACCCUGUUGUUAGAGAAGAAAGUGAGUGAGAGUAACUGUUCACGUUUCGACGGUAUCUAACCAGAAAGCCACGGCUAACUACGUG